RNAcentral lists this ribosomal RNA (253 nucleotides) under uncultured bacterium. Its description in RNAcentral is "partial 16S ribosomal RNA". It matches the Rfam family "Bacterial small subunit ribosomal RNA", at positions 524 to 776 of the family's 1533-position model. The record is from RNAcentral.
UACAGAGGGUGCAAGCGUUAAUCGGAAUUACUGGGCGUAAAGCGUGCGUAGACGGUUGCGUAAGUCAGAUGUGAAAGCCCCGGGCUCAACCUGGGAAUUGCAUUUGAGACUGCGUAGCUAGGGUGCGGAAGAGGGAAGCGGAAUUUCCGGUGUAGCGGUGAAAUGCGCAGAUAUCAGGAGGAACACCGGUGGCGAAGGCGGGUCUCUGGGCAACAACUGACGCUGAGGAGCGAAAGCGUGGGGAGCGAACAGG